AAUGCAUUGAAAGGUGCAAAUGCAUCACUACCAGAUGGACCUGCGUUGUAUUAGCUAGUUGGUGGGGUAACGGCUCACCAAGGCGACGAUACAUAGCCGACCUGAGAGGGUGAUCGGCCACACUGGGACUGAGACACGGCCCAGACUCCUACGGGAGGCAGCAGUAGGGAAUCUUCGGCAAUGGACGGAAGUCUGACCGAGCAACGCCGCGUGAGUGAAGAAGGUUUUCGGAUCGUAAAGCUCUGUUGUAAGAGAAGAACGAGUGUGAGAGUGGAAAGUUCACACUGUGACGGUAUCUUACCAGAAAGGGACGGCUAACUACGUGCCAGCAGCCGCGGUAAUACGUAGGUCCCGAGCGUUGUCCGGAUUUAUUGGGCGUAAAGCGAGCGCAGGCGGUUAGAUAAGUCUGAAGUUAAAGGCUGUGGCUUAACCAUAGUACGCUUUGGAAACUGUUUAACUUGAGUGCAAGAGGGGAGAGUGGAAUUCCAUGUGUAGCGGUGAAAUGCGUAGAUAUAUGGAGGAACACCGGUGGCGAAAGCGGCUCUCUGGCUUGUAACUGACGCUGAGGCUCGAAAGCGUGGGGAGCAACAGGAUUAGAUACCCUGGUAGUCCACGCCGUAAACGAUGAGUGCUAGGUGUUAGACCCUUUCCGGGGUUUAGUGCCGCAGCUAACGCAUUAAGCACUCCGCCUGGGGAGUACGACCGCAAGGUUGAAACUCAAAGGAAUUGACGGGG
Molecule: ribosomal RNA, 735 nt
Filed under: Streptococcus oralis subsp. tigurinus
Lineage: Bacteria; Bacillati; Bacillota; Bacilli; Lactobacillales; Streptococcaceae
Description: bacterial SSU rRNA
Rfam family: Bacterial small subunit ribosomal RNA
Source: RNAcentral